CGGGGAGGCGCCCCCGGGCGGCGGAAUCACUCCGUUGGCCAUGGAAGAGCUGGAGGCUUGAGAGUCUCUCAAUCACUAAGGGACCGAGCCCUGGGAGCCCUGGAGGAGACCCCCUCCGCACACAAGCUUCUCCAGCCUUGGGCACCAGAUCCCAGACACCUGGAAGGAACCAGCAACUCCACUUCAAGUCUCUGUACAGCUGAUGUCCCUCAGAGGCCUGGCUUCUGGACUGACAACAUGGAGAUUCAGCCAGACUUAUUACUCCAGCAAGACCACACCUAAGAAGAAGGUUGUCCACAGAUUUGGGCAUCAUUGGCAUACUGAAGGUCUCGUGGCAUCCUGCCUCCGGCACACCUGUAUUUGUCAGCCCCCCACCGUGCCUUCUGAUGGGGUCUUCAUUACUGUGACAACAGUGUCCCAUGCAUGCACAAAGGAUGGCCACUCUGGUGUGUGUCAGCAUCAAACUCAGAGGCUAUACAUGUUCAACUGUUGACAGGAAAGGUGACAGAAAAGGCAGAAGAAGCCAGUGACUGGCAAGCUCAAAGCAGCAUCUACCCCACAUACCUCCCGCACAAUCCAAUCUGACUUGAACUUCCCACCCUGCAAGAUGAUGCCCUAGAAUGAUUUCCUGGUACGUACAGUACCUGCAAUACCACCACAGCCCAUCCCUUCUGACCAGGGAAGCAAGACUCAUUCCAGCAUCCAGACUUGGCGACACAAGCACACUGUUUUUACACUUGGAGACACAACUGGGCCAAAAGCACUCUAGGGUGGAUUUCUCUCACAGCCACUCCCUGGAAUCACCAUCUUGGGGUCCAACAUAUAGAAUCUAGACCAAUGUAGCUGAUAUUUGUCAUCAGUUGUUAA
Nannospalax galili (Upper Galilee mountains blind mole rat) is the source of this 867-nucleotide long non-coding RNA. RefSeq lists it as uncharacterized. The transcript is spliced from 4 exons. The record is from RefSeq and is a predicted model, not a curated record. Lineage: Eukaryota; Metazoa; Chordata; Mammalia; Rodentia; Spalacidae.